This 898-nucleotide long non-coding RNA is filed under the name Sorghum bicolor (sorghum). RNAcentral describes it as "long non-coding RNA (SBIC_LNC013202)". Lineage: Eukaryota; Viridiplantae; Streptophyta; Magnoliopsida; Poales; Poaceae. The record is from RNAcentral.
UACGACGUCCGCACCGAGCCACUAGAUGUCGAGGCCGUUAUGAGGCUCGGUGGCGGUAGGAAGCACGGCUGGGCCUGGAUCGCAAACGCCGCCAUCGACCCCAACACCACCCCCACUCUCAGCCAGCUCAGAGCACAAAGCACGAGCUCCAGCCAGCCCAUCCGCGCACGGCCGACUCCGACAGUGAGCAUGUUAGCUUCGCUCCAGGUAAUUCUAGGUUCACUCAUAGUAAAUUAAUAUUCUCGCAACUGAAUUACAUUUGCAUUACUGAAACAUUGGAGUGUAAUCUUGCAGGCCGACAACGCCCAGAAGACGGAGCAGAUCACGGCCCUCACUGCUCGGCUGGAGGCUGAGCGUCUCGCGCGAGAGGCCUAGGACCAGAGGAUGGCUGAGAUGAUGAGGGUCCUGGUCGCUCUGGGGCAGCGUACAUGUGUGGACGUCACGAUGUCAGCUCCAGCGCCUCAGCUGCCACCGCCGUUUAGUUCUACUGUAAGUGUCAAAGUUAACUUCUUCUUUGUAACUGUAGUGCAUAAAUAAUUACUACAAUCUCACAUAAACAUCUAACUGUUUGUGCAGCUUCAGUCGACAGCGGGAUCCAAUAACCCGCCUCGUACGUCACCGGAUCCUAGAGCCUUCGACACACCACCCUCGACGCAGAGGCAGGACGGUUGGGGAGGAUGUACGUGUCGGUGGUUUGGAACUUUGGUUCGAUUUGGUGAACUUGUGGACUACUGGAUGUACAUACAUUAUGUUCGUGAUAUAUAUAUAUGUGAUGUUCGUGAGAUGUAUGUGCUCGUUGUGGACUCUGUGUGAUGGUAUAUAUAUGUAUCUAUCUUUUGUCUAGAUGAAAAUAAACAAACAAAAAAAAUUUAAAAUUUCUCUGGUCUUUGCCGAGGGC